AGCGAACGCUGGCGGCAGGCCUAACGCAUGCGAGUCGAACGAACUCUUCGGAGUUAGUGGCGGACGGGUGAGUAACACGUGGGAACGUGCCUUUUGGUUCGGAAUAACUCAGGGAAACUUGUGCUAAUACCGAAUGUGCCCUUCGGGGGAAAGAUUUAUCGCCAUUAGAGCGGCCCGCGUCUGAUUAGCUAGUUGGUGAGGUAACGGCUCACCAAGGCGACGAUCAGUAGCUGGUCUGAGAGGAUGACCAGCCACACUGGGACUGAGACACGGCCCAGACUCCUACGGGAGGCAGCAGUGGGGAAUCUUGCGCAAUGGGCGAAAGCCUGACGCAGCCAUGCCGCGUGAAUGAUGAAGGUCUUAGGAUUGUAAAAUUCUUUCACCGGGGACGAUAAUGACGGUACCCGGAGAAGAAGCCCCGGCUAACUUCGUG
RNAcentral lists this ribosomal RNA (433 nucleotides) under uncultured bacterium. Its description in RNAcentral is "partial 16S ribosomal RNA". It matches the Rfam family "Bacterial small subunit ribosomal RNA", at positions 29 to 507 of the family's 1533-position model. The record is from RNAcentral.